RNAcentral lists this ribosomal RNA (464 nucleotides) under Vreelandella stevensii. RNAcentral's name for it is "partial 16S ribosomal RNA". It matches the Rfam family "Bacterial small subunit ribosomal RNA", at positions 338 to 795 of the family's 1533-position model. The record is from RNAcentral. Lineage: Bacteria; Pseudomonadati; Pseudomonadota; Gammaproteobacteria; Oceanospirillales; Halomonadaceae.
CCUACGGGAGGCUGCAGUGGGGAAUAUUGGACAAUGGGCGAAAGCCUGAUCCAGCCAUGCCGCGUGUGUGAAGAAGGCCUUCGGGUUGUAAAGCACUUUCAGUGGGGAAGAAAGCCUUGGGGCUAAUACCCUCGAGGAAGGACAUCACCCACAGAAGAAGCACCGGCUAACUCCGUGCCAGCAGCCGCGGUAAUACGGAGGGUGCGAGCGUUAAUCGGAAUUACUGGGCGUAAAGGCGCGUAGGCGGUCUGAUAAGCCGGUUGUGAAAGCCCCGGGCUCAACCUGGGAACGGCAUCCGGAACUGUCAGGCUAGAGUGCAGGAGAGGAAGGUAGAAUUCCCGGUGUAGCGGUGAAAUGCGUAGAGAUCGGGAGGAAUACCAGUGGCGAAGGCGGCCUUCUGGACUGACACUGACGCUGAGGUGCGAAAGCGUGGGUAGCAAACAGGAUUAGAUACCCUAGUAGUC